AAUUUACCAUCAUCCAGAUAUUCUGCUGUGUAGACUUUCAAAGAUCUGCUGCCAAAAAAUUUAUGAGUUGGUAUUGUCCACAAAGUUCUUUUUCAAUUGCAUUUCAUACAUUUCACAACCUAGGAUUCUGGCGUGGAGAAAAGGGACGUUGAAAUAGUAAGAAAGGCGGGCAAAUUGCAAACAAGCUUAUUUCAUACAAUGGCUUGGUCAAAGUUCAGAACAUCAGGAUAGCCGCCAUGUAUUAUGCAUCCAGAAAAAUAUUCUUAGCAUUAGCAAACCUCAUUAAGAUGAAAGGUCAUCACCUAUUGCUAGUCCCACAACUAAGCAGCAAUAAGGCGGAGUAAUCAGGAUGCGUACUCUUACCUUUAGACAUUUUACAUUAAGGCUAUAUUUGUUACAAGGGUUCACCUCUUUAAACACUUGGUUUAGUAGAGAUGGUUGAAGGAGGCAAGAAGAGAAUUCUUUUUCUUAUUUCAUCUCUA
This 482-nucleotide unclassified non-coding RNA is filed under the name Hevea brasiliensis (rubber tree). The record is from RNAcentral. Lineage: Eukaryota; Viridiplantae; Streptophyta; Magnoliopsida; Malpighiales; Euphorbiaceae.